CAACGAUGAAGAACGCAGCGAAAUGCGAUACGUAGUGUGAAUUGCAGAAUUCCGCGAAUCAUCGAGUCUUUGAACGCAAGUUGCGCCCGAGGCUUGUCCAAGGGCAUUUCCGCUAGAGCGUC
Molecule: ribosomal RNA, 122 nt
Filed under: Epipterygium tozeri
Lineage: Eukaryota; Viridiplantae; Streptophyta; Bryopsida; Bryales; Mniaceae
Description: partial 5.8S ribosomal RNA
Rfam family: 5.8S ribosomal RNA
About the family: 5.8S ribosomal RNA (5.8S rRNA) is a component of the large subunit of the eukaryotic ribosome.
Source: RNAcentral